GAUGAACGCUGGCGGCGUGCCUAAUACAUGCAAGUCGAGCGAACGGACGAGAAGCUCGCUCCUCUGAUGUUAGCGGCGGACGGGUGAGUAAGACGUGGAUAACCUACCUAUAAGACUGGGAUAACUUCGGGAAACCGGAGCUAAUACCGGAUGAUAUUUUGAACCGCAUGGUUCAAAAGUGAAAGACGGUCUUGCUGUCACUUAUAGAUGGAUCCGUGUUGGAUUAGCUAGUUGGUAAGGUAACGGCUUACCAAGGCAACGAUGCAUAGCCGACCUGAGAGGGUGAUCGGCCACACUGGAACUGAGACACGGUCCAGACUCCUACGGGAGGCAGCAGUAGGGAAUCUUCCGCAAUGGGCGAAAGCCUGAUGGAGCAACGCCGCGUGAGUGAUGAAGGUCUUCGGAUCGUAAAACUCUGUUAUUAGGGAAGAACAUAUGUGUAAGUAACUGUGCACAUCUUGACGGUACCUAAUCAGAAAGCCACGGCUAACUACGUG
Molecule: ribosomal RNA, 497 nt
Filed under: uncultured bacterium
Lineage: Bacteria
Description: partial 16S ribosomal RNA
Rfam family: Bacterial small subunit ribosomal RNA
Source: RNAcentral